This is a long non-coding RNA of Astyanax mexicanus (Mexican tetra), 1690 nucleotides long. RefSeq lists it as uncharacterized. Lineage: Eukaryota; Metazoa; Chordata; Actinopteri; Characiformes; Acestrorhamphidae. The record is from RefSeq and is a predicted model, not a curated record. The transcript is spliced from 2 exons.
ACCUAUAAGACAAAUGCAUAAUUUUCUGGCUGUAGCAUGAACGAAAUCAGCUAAGCAAUAUAAAAUUGUUUCAUCUGCAUAAUGGUAAAGUUUGCAAUCUGAGAAGCAGAGCCAGCAAUAUAAUUUAUGUAUAUAUUAAAUAAAACUGGACCAAAAUUUAACCUUGUGAUACAUCUGUGAGAUACAGAUGCCAAAUCUGAAUAAUUAUUCAUUGACAUGCACUCUUUUGGGUCUAUUCCAGAGCAGUGGCAUCAAAGCAAAUAAUUUAAGCUAAAUUCAGUGGGAGAAAAAGGGUGAUACUGAUGGUAAUAAGGAAAAUCUGUAUACAAUAAUAACAAAUAAUAAACUAUGGAUACUCGGUGCCUUGCACAGGCUUUCACUGUGAACACCAGAGUGUGAGUUUAUGACAGUAUGACAUACCUGGGUUUGCGCUCCCUAACUGUGCCCUGCAGGAACACUACGGCACUGAAUGUUGAUAAAACAGUGCUGCUACGCUGUGUGUGGUUCAGUGGGCUAGGCUGGUUAGCCAAAGACGGGUAAGAUCCCAACAUAUUACACAGGGACAACCUAAGACAGGCACAGUCUCGAUCUGACCACCACAUGCAUUUUAACAGAAAACGGAGAAAACAUCGUGGAAGGGAAGCGCAGCCCAGGGGGAGAGUGAGUGGAUGAAUGAAGUGAUGGGGUGUGUGUCAGUGGAGGCCUGGGCAGGGUAGACAGUAAUGGACAGUAAGAGGGUGAAGCAAUUUUGGGUUAAGUUCUCUGAAACAGAAAUUCUGUUUCAGAAAAAGGGGGAGAUUUAAAUAGAUGAUCAUUAUUGCCACCAUUAUUUGCCCAAUAAUUAUUUUAUACUUUUUAUAAUAAUUAUUUUAUACUUUUUAUUUAUUAUUUUUUUUUAAACCUAUUACCUUUUUCAUCCCUCACCACUAUUACUAAAAUUUUUUGACCAAUCAUUAUUUUAUAGAUAUAGAGCAUUUUUUAAACUUUUAGCUUGUUUAUCUUUUUAAAGUUUGGUUUUAAAACAACCUCUAUGCAGAUGAGCAAUUACUUUCAGCAAUAUUGUAACAGUCUUAACUCUAAGACACACUCAAUCCUAAUUUAAAAAGAAGAAAUAAGAAACUUAGAAAUCAUAAAAUUGAACUUUCACUAUUCAACAUGUAAGCCACUUUUUGAGCAAGGGAAACAGUAAGUGAGAUUUGAUAAAUUGUUUAAAGGAAAUAGAUGUAUAGUUGAUAAUUGUGAAAAGCAGUCUGCUGUGCAUUGCAUAUGCAUAAAUACAUAUUGAACAUAUUGAUCAGUAAAUGUAAAGCAUUGUUCGGAUUUAUUUGCUAUAAUAACGUGGACAAAGAAAAGCAUAACAUCUGUGUUUAUUAAUAUUGAUAAUAUUAUUGUUUGUAAUGGAACGAUUGAUACAGAGAAAAAUAAUCACGUUCCACUUAUCCCAAUUCUUAAAGCACUAAAUAAAAUCAACUAAAUCUAGAAAUCAAGGCUUUAUAAAAUCUUGGGAACUGAAUAAAGUCAGAAUCAUAAUUUCUUAAUAAAUAGCACACCGCAGAAAAAUUAAAGUGGCAGGUAAAAUAAUAUAGCCACAAGCGGUGAUUCUAAAGUCCAAGCAAAAGUAACCCAAGAAAGCCCAAUACAUCAAUAUGGAACCAUUCCUGAGACAGAAGCCACAUUAUGUGUAGUUUGU